Molecule: long non-coding RNA, 271 nt
Filed under: Gadus morhua (Atlantic cod)
Lineage: Eukaryota; Metazoa; Chordata; Actinopteri; Gadiformes; Gadidae
Description: lncRNA (ENSGMOG00000025111.1)
Source: RNAcentral
GGACGUUCCAACACGUUGGAAUUCGACGGUGGAUAUGGUCAAGCGUCUGAACCGCAAUCAAGCAGCAAUAAAAGCAACCCUGGACCAACAGCAGCACAAACUCAUUAUGCUGACACCACCAGAAUGGGACAAGGUGCAAAGACUUGAGACUCUUCUAGAGCCCUGUCGGUAUGUAACUGAGAUCCUGGGUGGGGAGGCCUAUGUAUCCUGCUCUGUUGUACUGCCUGCCCUCUGCCACUUGCGUCGUGUAAUGGAGGUCUCUGAUGAGGAC